ACGACGAACAUUCAUCAACACAUAGUACUUUUGUCAUAUUAUUGUACGUAGAACGAUCGCAAACAUUUAUUAUUAUUUUUUUCUUCGCAAACACAAUAAUAAACACUCAUGACCCGCCAAUUAUUAGUUUAAUUCGUAUAGCCGGAUUGUAUCGAACUGUCAAUUGCGCGAUAUAUAGUUACUAUAUAACGAGUAACGAGUAACAAUCGACGCCUUCUCAAUAAGUUAAACUAGCUAUUAUAUCGGGGCAAUCACUGGAAACGAUUAUCAGAGAGGCCACAUUACGGCCCUAAAAUAAUUCGAAAGAGAUCCCACGAGGAAACCCACCGUUGUUGGCCCGUCUUCUCGUCGAGAUGGUUAUCUCGUAUAAUGAGUUUGGCCAACGACUGUGUGCUGCGGCAAUUUGUCAUUUCAGACACGUUAUGGCAUACAAGGAUAAUCAACGCCAUCGAUUUUGAAAAUGUUGUCAUCGAUGGUCGGCGUACAGGUUAGGUUACCUACUAGCGCAUUAAAGGUAAAAUAAUUUUGGUCGGUAAAUUGAUGCACUCUGUAUGUACUGGCUAAUGUCAGUCAGCAUUUGACAUAAUUCCGCAAUCGAUUCGAUUAUACUUGUACCAGUUAUUAUAUAAUAAUUUUCUGUCGUAUUAUAUUUCCAUAAAGUCUAUUUGCUAAUUCGAAAUCUAAGUAGCACCUCUGUAAUUUAUAAAUUCACACAUUUAAAGUUUACAUGAUGUAGUUUUAUUUAAUUUAAUAAAUACAUUUAAUUUAA
Rhopalosiphum padi (bird cherry-oat aphid) is the source of this 769-nucleotide long non-coding RNA. RefSeq lists it as uncharacterized. The record is from RefSeq and is a predicted model, not a curated record. Lineage: Eukaryota; Metazoa; Arthropoda; Insecta; Hemiptera; Aphididae. The transcript is spliced from 3 exons.